AAGAUACGAAUGAGUAAAUAAACAAGAUCUAACACUUGUGUGACAACAAGUUAUGAGGUCGAGCGAGGAGAGUCUGGACGCCAUGAGACUGAACGAAAACGUGCUGGAGCUCGCGAUCUUCCUGAUCUGGACGCCGUUCGAUAUGGAAAGGAAAGAAAUAGAUGGAGUCGAUGUCGGGGUCGUUGUCAGUUUGGCUGUUCACGUCGUCUCCCAGAGACACCAAACACUGAGCGAAGCCUCGAUACACAGAG
Molecule: long non-coding RNA, 251 nt
Organism: Ictalurus punctatus (channel catfish)
Lineage: Eukaryota; Metazoa; Chordata; Actinopteri; Siluriformes; Ictaluridae
Exons: 3
Source: RefSeq, a predicted model, not a curated record